GAUGAACGCUGGCGGCGUGCUUAACACAUGCAAGUCGAACGAUGAACCUCACUUGUGGGGGGAUUAGUGGCGAACGGGUGAGUAACACGUGAGUAACCUGCCCUUGACUCUGGGAUAAGCCUGGGAAACCGGGUCUAAUACUGGAUACGACCUUCCCGCGCAUGCGGUGUUGGUGGAAAGCUUUUGUGGUUUUGGAUGGACUCGCGGCCUAUCAGCUUGUUGGUGGGGUAAUGGCCUACCAAGGCGACGACGGGUAGCCGGCCUGAGAGGGUGACCGGCCACACUGGGACUGAGACACGGCCCAGACUCCUACGGGAGGCAGCAGUGGGGAAUAUUGCACAAUGGGCGCAAGCCUGAUGCAGCGACGCCGCGUGAGGGAUGAAGGCCUUCGGGUUGUAAACCUCUUUCAGUAGGGAAGAAGCCGGCCCUUUGGGUUGGUGACGGUACCUGCAGAAGAAGCGCCGGCUAACUACGUGCCAGCAGCCGCGGUAAUACGUAGGGCGCAAGCGUUAUCCGGAAUUAUUGGGCGUAAAGAGCUCGUAGGCGGUUUGUCGCGUCUGCCGUGAAAGUCCGGGGCUUAACUCCGGAUCUGCGGUGGGUACGGGCAGACUAGAGUGCAGUAGGGGAGACUGGAAUUCCUGGUGUAGCGGUGAAAUGCGCAGAUAUCAGGAGGAACACCGAUGGCGAAGGCAGGUCUCUGGGCUGUAACUGACGCUGAGGAGCGAAAGCAUGGGGAGCGAACAGGAUUAGAUACCCUGGUAGUCCAUGCCGUAAACGUUGGGCACUAGGUGUGGGGGACAUUCCACGUUUUCCGCGCCGUAGCUAACGCAUUAAGUGCCCCGCCUGGGGAGUACGGCCGCAAGGCUAAAACUCAAAGGAAUUGACGGGGGCCCGCACAAGCGGCGGAGCAUGCGGAUUAAUUCGAUGCAACGCGAAGAACCUUACCAAGGCUUGACAUGAACCGGAAUGAUGCAGAGAUGUGUCAGCCACUUGUGGCCGGUUUACAGGUGGUGCAUGGUUGUCGUCAGCUCGUGUCGUGAGAUGUUGGGUUAAGUCCCGCAACGAGCGCAACCCUCGUUCCAUGUUGCCAGCGGGUUAUGCCGGGGACUCAUGGGAGACUGCCGGGGUCAACUCGGAGGAAGGUGGGGACGACGUCAAAUCAUCAUGCCCCUUAUGUCUUGGGCUUCACGCAUGCUACAAUGGCCGGUACAAAGGGUUGCGAUACUGUGAGGUGGAGCUAAUCCCAAAAAGCCGGUCUCAGUUCGGAUUGAGGUCUGCAACUCGACCUCAUGAAGUUGGAGUCGCUAGUAAUCGCAGAUCAGCAACGCUGCGGUGAAUACGUUCCCGGGCCU
RNAcentral lists this ribosomal RNA (1352 nucleotides) under uncultured bacterium. RNAcentral's name for it is "bacterial SSU rRNA". It matches the Rfam family "Bacterial small subunit ribosomal RNA", at positions 28 to 1381 of the family's 1533-position model. The record is from RNAcentral.